AACAUCGCGCACCUGCGGGAACCUGCGGAAGGAUCAUUACCGAGUUUACAACUCCCAAACCCCUGUGAACAUACCUAUACGUUGCCUCGGCGGAUCAGCCCGCGCCCCGUAAAAAGGGACGGCCCGCCCGAGGACCCCUAAACUCUGUUUUUAGUGGAACUUCUGAGUAAAACAAACAAAUAAAUCAAAACUUUUAACAACGGAUCU
RNAcentral lists this unclassified non-coding RNA (207 nucleotides) under soil metagenome. Its description in RNAcentral is "partial contains 5.8S ribosomal RNA, internal transcribed spacer 2, and large subunit ribosomal RNA". The record is from RNAcentral.